UCGAAUCGCCGUCGAAAAUGA
RNAcentral lists this non-coding RNA (21 nucleotides) under Caenorhabditis elegans. The record is from RNAcentral. Lineage: Eukaryota; Metazoa; Nematoda; Chromadorea; Rhabditida; Rhabditidae.